This 487-nucleotide ribosomal RNA is filed under the name uncultured Turicibacter sp. RNAcentral describes it as "bacterial SSU rRNA". It matches the Rfam family "Bacterial small subunit ribosomal RNA", at positions 8 to 507 of the family's 1533-position model. Lineage: Bacteria; Bacillati; Bacillota; Erysipelotrichia; Erysipelotrichales; Turicibacteraceae. The record is from RNAcentral.
AGAGUUUGAUCCUGGCUCAGGAUGAACGCUGGCGGCGUGCCUAAUACAUGCAAGUCGAGCGAACCACUUCGGUGGGAAGCGGCGAACGGGUGAGUAACACGUAGGUGAUCUGCCCAUCAGACGGGGACAACGAUUGGAAACGAUCGCUAAUACCGGAUAGGACGAAAGUUUAAAGAUGCUCCUGGCAUCACUGAUGGAUGAGCCUGCGGCGCAUUAGCUAGUUGGUGGGGUAAAGGCCUACCAAGGCGACGAUGCGUAGCCGACCUGAGAGGGUGAACGGCCACACUGGGACUGAGACACGGCCCAGACUCCUACGGGAGGCAGCAGUAGGGAAUCUUCGGCAAUGGGCGAAAGCCUGACCGAGCAACGCCGCGUGAAUGAAGAAGGCCUUCGGGUUGUAAAAUUCUGUUAUAAGGGAAGAAAGGUGAUAGGAGGAAAUGACUAUCAAUUGACGGUACCUUAUGAGAAAGCCACGGCUAACUACGUA